CAGACAGUAGUUGCAGCAUGUUUGAUGUUCAGCAUCAAUAACACAGGCAACAGGAGGAUACUCGGGGCGAGCGACAGGAUGACUGAAUAAAGCAGCAGCCGUUGGGAUCCAGGCAGUUAACGGCAAAUUUGGGACCCUGGAUCUAAGAGUUCUACCUACUAAUAAAAGAAGCAUAAAUAAAUAAAGCGUCAAGAAUUCAGAAAGUCAAAGAAACCAAUGCAGGAGUCCAAGAAAAACAUCUUCCAUGCACCAUGUCACGUUUGGAAUUCUCUGGUGGUCUUAUAGCAGGCAGGAAGUGGAAGACAACUAUAUUCUGGAAGGAAGGCAAUUUA
RNAcentral lists this long non-coding RNA (332 nucleotides) under Felis catus (domestic cat). RNAcentral's name for it is "lncRNA (ENSFCAG00000049684.1)". Lineage: Eukaryota; Metazoa; Chordata; Mammalia; Carnivora; Felidae. The record is from RNAcentral.